Molecule: ribosomal RNA, 253 nt
Filed under: uncultured bacterium
Lineage: Bacteria
Description: partial 16S ribosomal RNA
Rfam family: Bacterial small subunit ribosomal RNA
Source: RNAcentral
UACAGAGGAUGCAAGCGUUAUCCGGAAUGAUUGGGCGUAAAGCGUCUGUAGGUGGCUUUUUAAGUCCGCCGUCAAAUCCCAGGGCUCAACUCUGGACAGGCGGUGGAAACUACCAAGCUGGAGUACGGUAGGGGCAGAGGGAAUUUCCGGUGGAGCGGUGAAAUGCGUAGAGAUCGGGAGGAACACCAGUGGCGAAGGCGGCUCACUGGACCGGAACUGACGCUGAGGCGCGAAAGCGUGGGGAGCAAACGGG